Oncorhynchus tshawytscha (Chinook salmon) is the source of this 1051-nucleotide long non-coding RNA. The record is from Ensembl. NCBI's taxonomy places the organism in Eukaryota, Metazoa, Chordata, Actinopteri, Salmoniformes, Salmonidae.
CUCCAUUAUGGCUCUAAUUUCAUAGUGGUAGUGGGUUGGUAGAUGUCUAGUCUCCUUUAUGGCUCUAAUCUGAUAGUGGUAGUGGGGUGGUAGAUGUCUAGUCUCCAUUAUGGCUCUAAUCUGAUAGUGGUAGAUGUCUAGUCUCCAUUAUGGCUCUAAUCUGAUAGUGGUAGUGGGGUGGUAGAUGUCUAGCCUCCUUUAUGGCUCUAAUCUGAUAGUGGUAGAUGUCUAGUCUCCUUUAUGGCUCUAAUCUGAUCGUGGGUGGGGUGGUAGAUGUCUAUUCUCCUUUAUGGCUCUAAUCUGAUAGUGGUUGAUGUCUAGUCUCCAUUAUGGCUCUAAUCUGAUAGUGGUAGAUGUCUAGUCUCAAUUAUGGCUCUAAUCUGAUAGUGGGAGUGGGGUGGUAGAUGUCUAGUCUCCAUUAUGGCUCUAAUUUCAUAGUGGUAGUGGGUUGGUAGAUGUCUAGUCUCCUUUAUGGCUCUAAUCUGACAGUGGUAGUGGGGUGGUAGAUGUCUAGUCUCCCUUUUGGCUCUAAUCUGAUCGUGGGGUGGGGUGGUAGAUUAUCUAGUCUCCUUUAUGGCUCUAAUCUGAUAGUGGUAUGGUAGUGGGUUGGUAGAUGUCUAGUCUCCUUUAUGGCUCUAAUCUGACAGUGGUAGUGGGGUGGUAGAUGUCUAGUCUCCAUUUUGGCUCUAAUCUGAUCGUGGGGUGGGGUGGUAGAUUAUCUAGUAGAUGUAGUAGAUGUCUAGUCUCCUUUAUGGCUCUAAUCUGAUAGUGGUAGUGGGGUGGUAGAUGUCUAGUCUCCUUUAUGGCUCUAAUCUGAUAGUGGUAGUGGGGUGGUAGAUGUCUAGUCUCCAUUAUGGCUCUAAUCUGAUAGUGGUAGUGGGGUGGUAGAUGUCUAGUCUCCUUUAUGGCUCUAAUCUGAUAGUAGUAGAUGUCUAGUCUUCAUUAUGGCUCUAAUCUGAUAGUGGGGUGGUAGAUGUCUAGUCUCCAUUAUGGCUCUAAUUUGAUAGUGGUAGUGGGUUGGUAGAUGUCUAGUCUCCUUUAUGGCUCUAAU